UACGGAGGAUGCGAGCGUUAUCCGGAUUUAUUGGGUUUAAAGGGUGCGUAGGCGGCUUAGUAAGUCAGCGGUGAAAUUUUGCAGCUUAACUGUAACAGUGCCGUUGAUACUGCCAGGCUAGGAUUUGGUUGCUGUGGGUGGAAUGUGAGGUGUAGCGGUGAAAUGCUUAGAUAUCACACAGAAUAUCGAUUGCGAAGGCAGCUCACAAAGCCAAGAUUGACGCUGAGGCACGAAAGUGUGGGGAUCAAACAGGA
RNAcentral lists this ribosomal RNA (254 nucleotides) under uncultured prokaryote. Its description in RNAcentral is "partial 16S ribosomal RNA". It matches the Rfam family "Bacterial small subunit ribosomal RNA", at positions 524 to 777 of the family's 1533-position model. The record is from RNAcentral.